RNAcentral lists this ribosomal RNA (468 nucleotides) under uncultured bacterium. RNAcentral describes it as "partial 16S ribosomal RNA". It matches the Rfam family "Bacterial small subunit ribosomal RNA", at positions 28 to 507 of the family's 1533-position model. The record is from RNAcentral.
GACGAACGCUGGCGGCGUGCCUAAUACAUGCAAGUCGAACGGACAGGCGCUGCUUUUGCGGGUCUCUCGAUUGCCGCGCGGGUGUGUGUCACACGUGUAUCCCGUCCCUAACUUUCGGAUAUCUUCAGGGAAAUCGGGCUAAUACCCGGUAGAAUCUCUUGCACCGUGGGGGUGAUUAGUAAGAUUCGGCUGUUCGGGAUGGUCUCGAUGCUUAUCAGCUUGAUGGUGGGGUAGUUGCUUACCAGGGCUUUGACGGGUAGCCGGCCUGAGAGGGUGGCCGGCCACAUUGGGACUGAGAGACGGCCCAGACUCCUACGGGACGCAGAAGUGGGGAGUAUGACACAAUGGGCGGAAGCCUGAGGCAGCAACGCCGCGUGCGGGAUGACGGCCUUCGGGUUGUAAACCGCUUUCGCAUGUGACGAAGCGUGAGUGACGGUAAUGAGUAAAGAAGCACCGGCUAACUACGUG